Molecule: ribosomal RNA, 254 nt
Filed under: uncultured bacterium
Lineage: Bacteria
Description: partial 16S ribosomal RNA
Rfam family: Bacterial small subunit ribosomal RNA
Source: RNAcentral
UACGUAGGGUGCGAGCGUUGUCCGGAAUUAUUGGGCGUAAAGGGCUCGUAGGCGGUGUGUCACGUCGGCCGUGAAAACCUGCAGCUUAACUGUGGGCGUGCGGUCGAUACGGGCAUCACUGGAGUUCGGCAGGGGAGACUGGAAUUUACGGUGUAGCGGUGAAAUGCGUAGAUAUCGUAAGGAAGACCAGUGGCGAAGGCGGGUCUCUGGACAGUUCCUGACGCUGAGGCACGAAGGUCAGGGGAGCAAACGGG